This 310-nucleotide unclassified non-coding RNA is filed under the name uncultured Geopora. RNAcentral describes it as "sequence contains ITS1". The stretch from base 1 to 105 matches the Rfam family "5.8S ribosomal RNA", at positions 50 to 154 of the family's 154-position model. The record is from RNAcentral. Lineage: Eukaryota; Fungi; Ascomycota; Pezizomycetes; Pezizales; Pyronemataceae.
GAAAUGCGAUAAGUAGUGUGAAUUGCAGAAUUCCGUGAAUCAUCGAAUCUUUGAACGCACAUUGCGCCUCCUGGCAUUCCGGGAGGCAUGCCUGUUCGAGCGUCAUUAAAAUCAUAUCAAGCAAUUUUGCAUGGUCAUGGAGGAAGAGUCCACCCGGUGUGGUCUCCCCGCCGAAAUGCAACGGCGGAAAGUCUCUGAUACUAGGCGUAGUAGUAACGUUCGCUUUGUAUCCGCAGUCAUUCCUGCCAGCGAAACCCCCACAAUUCUCUUGAUUGACCUCGGAUCAGGUAGGGAUACCCGCUGAACUUAA